Molecule: ribosomal RNA, 492 nt
Filed under: uncultured bacterium
Lineage: Bacteria
Description: partial 16S ribosomal RNA
Rfam family: Bacterial small subunit ribosomal RNA
Source: RNAcentral
AGUGAACGCUGGCGGUAGGCCUAACACAUGCAAGUCGAACGGCAGCACAGUAAGAGCUUGCUCUUACGGGUGGCGAGUGGCGGACGGGUGAGGAAUACAUCGGAAUCUACUUUUUCGUGGGGGAUAACGUAGGGAAACUUACGCUAAUACCGCAUACGACCUACGGGUGAAAGCAGGGGAUCUUCGGACCUUGCGCGAUUGAAUGAGCCGAUGUCGGAUUAGCUAGUUGGCGGGGUAAAGGCCCACCAAGGCGACGAUCCGUAGCUGGUCUGAGAGGAUGAUCAGCCACACUGGAACUGAGACACGGUCCAGACUCCUACGGGAGGCAGCAGUGGGGAAUAUUGGACAAUGGUCGCAAGCCUGAUCCGGCCAUACCGCGUGGGUGAAGAAGGCCUUCGGGUUGUAAAGCCCUUUUGUUGGGAAAGAAAAGCAGCAGGUUAAUACCCCGCUGUUCUGACGGUACCCAAAGAAUAAGCACCGGCUAACUUCGUG